RNAcentral lists this ribosomal RNA (253 nucleotides) under uncultured bacterium. RNAcentral describes it as "partial 16S ribosomal RNA". It matches the Rfam family "Bacterial small subunit ribosomal RNA", at positions 524 to 776 of the family's 1533-position model. The record is from RNAcentral.
UACGAAGGGGGCUAGCGUUGUUCGGAAUCACUGGGCGUAAAGGGCGCGUAGGCGGCCGAUCAAGUCGGGGGUGAAAGCCUGUGGCUCAACCACAGAAUUGCCUUUGAUACUGUUUGGCUUGAGACCGGAAGAGGUUAGUGGAACUGCGAGUGUAGAGGUGAAAUUCGUAGAUAUUCGCAAGAACACCAGUGGCGAAGGCGGCUGACUGGUCCGGUUCUGACGCUGAGGCGCGAAAGCGUGGGGAGCAAACAGG